Molecule: unclassified non-coding RNA, 166 nt
Filed under: uncultured fungus
Lineage: Eukaryota; Fungi
Description: sequence contains ITS1
Source: RNAcentral
CAAAACAAAGUUUCUCAAACUUUACACCCUUUGUGAACCAAAACCUGAACAGCUUCGGUAGCUGGUCCUGGUUAGCAAUAGCCUUGGCCGUCAGUCUGCCGGUGGCACCCAUAUUAAACUUGUUUUAAAACCAGUCUGAAUACAAACCAUUCUCGAAUGAAAAUUA